This is a long non-coding RNA of Argiope bruennichi, 485 nucleotides long. RefSeq lists it as uncharacterized. The transcript is spliced from 5 exons. Lineage: Eukaryota; Metazoa; Arthropoda; Arachnida; Araneae; Araneidae. The record is from RefSeq and is a predicted model, not a curated record.
UUAUUUGUGGUUAAAAAGAGAAGCAGAAAUCGCGGUCUAACUAAGCAGAAAAACAGAAAAUGAAAUUAUUAAACUAGGAAAUAGAAUUGCCACAAUACCCAUCACUGUCUACGCUAACUCGGCACGUCUUUUAUUUAAAAUACAUUCUCAUAUGAGGAAACUUAUCAGAAAAUGAAAACAUCUGCUGAUUCACUGGAAAAACAGGAGUGUCCUGGUAUUGAAAGAAAUGAACCCUACCUUCAACUAUGUGGAGAACAAGUGUGAUACGACUUGUAAAUAUGAAGGUGUGAUUUUAAGAUGUAAGCUAUAACGAAGGUUUAUAUGUACAGGAAAAGGACACACAGUUUUAAUAGGACAACAAAAUAAAUCCCACAAAAGAGGCGACGUUGAUAUAUUUUAGUCUUCCAUACUUUUUUUCUUUUGCUGUGCUCAAGAUAUGAAAAUUCGACUUACAUUUCCCUGCUGAAUAGAUUACAGAAUAAAGG